ACGCCCUUCUCCCUUAAAUUAAGUAGAGUGGUAUCUGUGGUCUGCAACUGAAUCAUGACAGAUACUGUCACAUUUGGGAACCAUUUUAAGAAGUUCUUCCACAUUAUACUUCUCCAACUUCAUUUUAAUAUCACUUCUAACUCCCUAAUCAUCUAGCCAAACCAUUAACCUCAGACUCUUUUUUUUUUUUUUUUUUUUUGAGAUGGAGUCUCGCUCUGUCACCCAGGCCGGAGUGCAGUGGCGCGAUCUCAGCUCCCUGCAAGCUCUGCCUCCCAGGUUCACGCAGCUGGAACUACAGGACAUGCCAUAGAUGAUAAAGUACCUCAGUCUGCCACAAACACUUUGAACAUUAUAAGGAUCGCAAGGACUAAGUUGCACUGCAGACUGGACCAGCUGGAGAACCUUUUCUUCCUCUGAAUCUCACUCAAGUAUGGCUUCAUUUCAAGUGACCAGAUAAGGAGGUCAGAGCAGUAACCCAAAUAUGAUCAAUGUUGUCUCUAAAUUCACCUAAGUGAUGUGACUCUUUUGGUUUAGGGGUAGGUAGCACAAGUAAAGCAACUUGUCCUUCAUUUUGAAGGGAGCACCUGUAUGCAAGAUCACUAAACAUCAAGAAAUAUCAGUGAAGUGAAAAGCCUUUGUACUUGAACCUCCCUACCUUCCGGUAUACAUAUAUUUCCUAAAGCGUGUAAGAUACUUGCUAUUUUUUACUCCAUAUGCCCUAUUAGUUUGAUGUCAUGAGUUCAGUGGGCCAGCAUAUCUUGUGAGAUGGUAAGAUGGGUCAGGAUCCCUAUGUGCUAACUUGUAGCAGAGUCAGAAAGUUCAUGUAACCAUGAGACAGUGUAGAUUGAUGUGUGUUAUAUCUGUUGUUUUCUGCUAUUAAGCCAAAGAAAAAUACUUCACUGGAUUAAUGUCUUCCUUUUCAAUUGCAUUUAUUUGUUUAUUUAUUUAUUUUACCUUCUUGCCUUCAUCAAUGUCUUGUUUGUAUUUCGUACUUUUCUCUCUCUCUCUCUCUUUCUCUUUCUUUUCAUUUUUUAAGAGAUAGGGGCCGGGUGCAGUUGCUCAUACCUGUAAUCCCAGCACUUUGGGAGGCCGAGGCAGGUGGAUC
Molecule: long non-coding RNA, 1105 nt
Filed under: Homo sapiens (human)
Lineage: Eukaryota; Metazoa; Chordata; Mammalia; Primates; Hominidae
Description: HSALNT0106368
Source: RNAcentral